AUGAACCCGAGUGAUGGGGGCUCAGAGGAGUUGCCACCACCACCUGCUCUGCCCCCCGACAUGGUGCCCAUCAAAGCAGAAGAAGAUGUCGCUGAGGAACUGCCUCCAAACAAGCCUGCAAAGACCAAGAGGCUCCCAAAGGCCAGGCCCGGGCUUGGGAAGAGAGGGCAGACCAUCCAGCUACUUGCUAACCACUACAAAGUUUCCAUGAGGAGUUCAAAUGACUUUUUCCACCACUACCAUGUUAAUCUGAAGUAUGGGGAUGAUCAGCCUGUUGUUGGAAAGGAGAUAGUGCGAAAGGUGCUGGAUAAACUGCAGCAUAUGUACCGUUCCGAGCUUGCGAACAAUGAAUUUGCAUAUGAUGGUGAGAAGAGCCUCUUCACAAUUGAGCCUCUUUACAAUGAGUUCACUGUAGUGUUGGAAGACAUCGGAAGGGGAAAGUGUUCUGGAGGUAAUAGUGGCAGCAGUCCUGGAGGUAGUGACACGAAGAGAGUAAAGAGGUCCUACCAGACAAAGAUUUUCAAAGUGGAGCUUUGCUUUGUGGCGAAAAUCCCUACGGCCGCAAUCACGCAGGCCCUUAGAGGUCAAGAAUCAGAGAACUCUCUUGAGGCUCUUCGAGUUCUUCAUAUCAUACUGAGGCAGCAUUCUGCAAAACAGGGCUGUCUUCUACUCCGCCAGUCAUUUUUCCACAACAAUCCUCGUAAUUUUCUUGACUUGAAAGGUGGUGUGGUGGGGUGCAGAGGAUUUCACUCAAGUUUCCGUGGUACGCAGAGUGGACUCUCCCUAAACAUCGAUGUUUCGACUACCAUGCUAGUUAAACCUGGUCCUGUUAUUGAUUUUCUUCUUGCAAACCAGAUGGUUGAUCACCCUAACAGAAUUGACUGGUCAAAGGCCAAGCGUGCUCUCAAGAACUUGAGGAUAAAAACCACUCUUUCUAAUUCAGAGUUCAAGAUUUUUGGUUUGAGUGAGAAAAAAAGCAACGAACAGACGUUUCCAUUGAGGCGCAGGGAUGGUGACAAUGGAGACACUAAUACUGUUGAAAUAAAAGUCUAUGAAUACUUUGUACAUAAUAGAGGCAUAGGACUGCGCUAUUCCGAUCUUCCCUGUAUCAACGCUGGGAGGCGAAAUCGUCCUACGUACUUCCCUCUGGAGCUCUGCGAGCUCGUUCCUCUGCAAAGAUACACCAAAGAUCUGUCUAUUCUGCAGAGGUCCUCACUUGUGGAGAAGUCCAGACAAAAGCCUCAUGAAAGAAUGUCAAUACUUAACGAUGCACUUAAACGUAGCAAUUAUGAGUCUGACCCCAUGCUGAAGGCAUGUGACAUUUCCAUUGCCCGACAUUUUACUCAAAUUGAAGGGAGGGUCCUGCCAGCACCCAAGCUGAAAGCCGGUAACGGUGAAGAAUUCUUCCCACGCAACGGAAGGUGGAAUCUUUCAAAAAAGAGGCUGAUUCAGACAUGUUCUGUCAACAAAUGGGCAGUUGUCAAUUUCUCUGCAGAGUGUGAUGUUCAUGGUCUUGUCCGAGACCUUAUAAGGAUUGCAACUGAAAUGGGGAUUAAAAUAGAAUACCCUUAUUGUGAUGUAAUUGAAGAGAGCCCGUCGGCAAGAAGAGCUCCUGCGUCACGUAGAGUGGACGAGAUGUUUGCUAAGAUAAAUUCCAAUCCACCUGGAGACCCCAAGUUCCUCCUGUGCCUUCUUCCUGACAGAAAAAACUGUGAAAUUUAUGGGCCUUGGAAGAGGAAGUGUCUUGCUGAAUGCGGCAUCUUCACACAAUGUCUAGCUCCUCCAAGAAAAGUCAAUGAUCAGUACCUGAUUAAUGUGUUAUUGAAGAUAAAUGCUAAACUUGGUGGUCUCAACACAUUGCUGCAAUGUGAACUAUCCCCUGCACCUGCAGUACUACCCAUUGUGGGGAAGCUGCCUACUAUCAUCUUGGGCAUGAAUGUGUCACAUGGUCAGCCUGGGCAAUCUGAUAGGCCUUCCACCGCUGCGGUGGUUAAUUCUCGCGAGUGGCCUCUCAUCUCUAAGUACAGAGCAACAGUGCACACUCAAUCACCCAAACUAGAAAUGAUGUCCUCCUUAUUUAAACCAUGGGGAAAGGAUGAUGGUCUCAUUCGGGAAUCGCUUAUCGACUUCUACACUAGUUCUGGGAAUCGAAAACCAGAGAAUUAUUAUUUUCAGGUGGUUAAUUCUCGCCAGUGGCCUCUCAUCUCUAAGUACAGAGCAACAGUGCACACUCAGUCACCCAAACUAGAAAUGAUGUCCUCCUUGUUUGAACCACGAGGAAAGAAAGAUGAUGGCCUCAUUCGGGAUGGAGUUAGCGAAAGCCAGUUUACUCAGGUCAUCAACAUUGAGCUGGAGCAGAUCAUCGAGGCCUGCAAGUUCCGGACUGAAUCCCCAAAUAAUGUUCCUCCUGGGACCGUCGUGGAUAAAGAGGUCUGCCAUCCCAAGAAUUUCGACUUCUACAUGUGCGCACAUGCUGGGAUGAUCGGCACGUCGAGGCCAACACAUUACCAUGUUCUGCAUGAUGAGAUCGGCUUCUCCGCGGAUGAGCUUCAGGAAUUUGUGCAUUCACUUUCAUACGUGUACCAGAGGAGCACAACAGCGAUAUCAGUCGUUGCUCCGAUCAUGUACGCGCAUCUGGCGGCUGCACAGGUAGGCGCAUUCGUGAAGUUUGAAGACAUGUCGGCCGCGUCGUCGAGCCAGGGAGGGGGGCACACGUCGGCGGGCAGCAUCCCGGUGCCGGAACUGCACAAGAAUGUGAGGACCUCCAUGUUCUUCUGCUGA
RNAcentral lists this ribosomal RNA (2781 nucleotides) under Triticum aestivum (bread wheat). RNAcentral describes it as "partial small subunit ribosomal RNA". The record is from RNAcentral. Lineage: Eukaryota; Viridiplantae; Streptophyta; Magnoliopsida; Poales; Poaceae.